GAUGAACGCUGGCGGCGUGCCUAAUACAUGCAAGUCGAGCGAACGGACGAGAAGCUUGCUUUUCUGAUGUUAGCGGCGGACGGGUGAGUAACACGUGGAUAACCUACCUAUAAGACUGGGAUAACUUCGGGAAACCGGAGCUAAUACCGGAUAAUAUUUUGAACCGCAUGGUUCAAAAGUGAAAGACGGUCUUGCUGUCACUUAUAGAUGUAUCCUCGCUGCAUUAGCUAGUUGGUAAGGUAACGGCUUACCAAGGCAACGAUGCAUAGCCGACCUGAGAGGGUGAUCGGCCACACUGGAACUGAGACACGGUCCAGACUCCUACGGGAGGCAGCAGUAGGGAAUCUUCCGCAAUGGGCGAAAGCCUGACGGAGCAACGCCGCGUGAGUGAUGAAAGUCUUCGGAUCGUAAAACUCUGUUAGUAGGGAAGAACAUAUGUGUAAGUAACUGUGCACAUCUUGACGGUACCUAAUCAGAAAGCCACGGCUAACUACGUG
This 497-nucleotide ribosomal RNA is filed under the name uncultured bacterium. RNAcentral's name for it is "partial 16S ribosomal RNA". It matches the Rfam family "Bacterial small subunit ribosomal RNA", at positions 28 to 507 of the family's 1533-position model. The record is from RNAcentral.